AUGGCUACACAUCAUCUCAAAGUUAGAUACUUAGAUUGCUUAACUCCUAGGAGACAUAUUACAGAAGGAAACCCCUCUUCUGAUUGGCCACGUGCAGCUCCAUAUUUGAAUUAUUUAUCAUUGCUUCAAAAUUGUACAAUAGUGCAGAAAAAAACAGAGGGGGAAACCAAUGAUUCUAAAGCUUGGUUUAUACAUUUUGGAAAAGUAUGGAUUGGACAUGCUUAUUUACAUGUUUACAUGUCUUUAUUUUCUCUUCUUCGUAUGCUUUCUUCUGUUUUUUUAACUCCCAUGUGUAUAUAUAGAACUAUCAUUUACUUCAUUCAUAUUUCCAGUUGUUGUGGCAGACAUGAAGAUAAUGGCAGGUAUUGUCACCGCGGUCGUUUCUGUCCGCCACAGUUGCAACAGGAUUGA
Molecule: ribosomal RNA, 411 nt
Filed under: Triticum aestivum (bread wheat)
Lineage: Eukaryota; Viridiplantae; Streptophyta; Magnoliopsida; Poales; Poaceae
Description: partial small subunit ribosomal RNA
Source: RNAcentral